UUUUUGGAUCCAUUGUGGAGGUUUGCCGGGUCCCAAUGAGGCAGACAAGUGGCAACGAAAGACACCCGACAUUUACCAAAUAUAAAUUUCCAGGUUCGGAGCAGUUGACACCUCAGUCGUCUCGGCUAUUCGGCCACGAAAGAUUUGAAAAAUAUUUCUUAGCCUAUGCGAACAGUUUAACCAACAUAAAGUAGUUAUUAUCAUACUGUCAAAUUUCAAGUAUUUCUGAAAUUUUGUUCAAGGUCGAACCUACAUUAUUCAUGUUAUUUUUUCAAUUUAGCCUAUUUUGUUGAACUGUUAUCAGAAGGGAGAAUUCAAAGGACGGCAAUCAAUUACGGUAUUAGUUUUGCAGGCAAAUUAAAUAAAAGGUUAUUAUUUCAUUCAUCUGUUUUCCAAAGAAAAUCCUUCCGCACUGUUUAAUAUCAAAAACUCAUAAAAGUUCGUACAGCAGAAUGCCAUUAGUUUAGUUAUUAUAUGAAUGUUUUUAAGAUUUGAAUUUUAAAUAUGUGUUUAAAGUUAAUAGAACAUAUAAAAAUUGCUGUUUUUAUACUUUUUAAAAUUUAGGAAGAAGUUGUUUUGCAAUGAGAUAGUAGUUGGACUCAAAUUUUAUUUUAAUAAAACUGGAAAUGAAGAAAUAAAAAAUAUCUCGGAAAUGUUGCUGCCGGUGAAUAAACAUUUCGGUGUCCUGUCGGAAAAGAAAAUCGUUUACUUCAUAGUUUCGAAGCAUUCUCGCCAGGUGUACCCGGAAAGAAGAAGGUUGCAUGAUGUGGGCAGUUGGAGAACGCUGGAAUGCAGCCCUUCCAACAUCCUUAAGAAACCGACCCUUAAAAGGGGAGAAGCCCGGAAUGUGGAAAGAACCUUUAUCCAUAAAUUACAUUUUUGAAUCUAUUGUUAACGUCGGGGGAGAAUUAUUUUUAGUGCAGUGUUAAAAAUGUUUUUAAAGAACUUUUUCAUCGAUUUCGACGUGUUUAGACAAUCGGAAAGUGUGCCUUUUUAGAAAUUGUAACGGUUUUUAAUAGAAAAAAUCCGGUGUUUUUCCUCUGUGGUUUCUUGUGUACUCUUCUGUCCACACGCGAAAUAUACUGUGAAUAAAACUGGUUUAUUUUGACUCUAGAUCGUCUUAUUUA
Centruroides sculpturatus (bark scorpion) is the source of this 1127-nucleotide long non-coding RNA. RefSeq lists it as uncharacterized. NCBI's taxonomy places the organism in Eukaryota, Metazoa, Arthropoda, Arachnida, Scorpiones, Buthidae. The record is from RefSeq and is a predicted model, not a curated record. The transcript has 3 exons.